UACGGAGGGUGCAAGCGUUAUCCGGAUUCACUGGGUUUAAAGGGUGCGUAGGCGGGUAGGUAAGUCAGUGGUGAAAUCUUCGAGCUUAACUCGGAAACUGCCUUUGAUACUAUCUAUCUUGAAUAUUGUGGAGGUAAGCGGAAUAUGUCAUGUAGCGGUGAAAUGCUUAGAUAUGACAUAGAACACCUAUUGCGAAGGCAGCUUACUACGCAUAUAUUGACGCUGAGGCACGAAAGCGUGGGGAGCAAACAGG
RNAcentral lists this ribosomal RNA (253 nucleotides) under uncultured bacterium. Its description in RNAcentral is "partial 16S ribosomal RNA". It matches the Rfam family "Bacterial small subunit ribosomal RNA", at positions 524 to 776 of the family's 1533-position model. The record is from RNAcentral.